CAUUCGUCUUUCACCGGCGCGACGACGACGGCAAAAUCUAGGUGGGCAUCUCCAUCGUCGGUGGCUGGUUUGCUGAUCGCCACCACGAGCGGCGUACCCCUCGUCGACUCUCCACGACGUGCAGUGAGGGCAACUCCCCACAAUUGUCUCGAUGAUGGUAAGAACAAGACUUUCCAGUCCGAUAUUUCAUUUCAUAUUCAUCAAUGGCGGCGACGACAACACGGCAUCGAUCGAUUUGCGAAGCCUAUGCAUCACGGCAUCAUGGUGGCGGCGACGGCACCGCCGCAGCAAUCGAAGGAGCAGAGAGGCGGCUGCACCACAGUGCGCCGCUACGACUCCUCGCUACCGAUGUGGAAGAAGAAUGAUGAAGCUCCUAAUUAACUAGUUCUUUGCUCCAUACAGAUGCAUGACAAAUACACCAUUGAUGGUGGCCAACACCGGGCAGUAUUCGCAUAGUUGCAUCGAUUAGCUGAUGUAGAUGCAGAAAAUGUGGAUUUGGCAGUAUGAAAAUUCUGUCCAAAGCAGCUUGUGCAGGUCAAGAAUUGGGUGUACUGUACAUUCAUUUUUCUUCUUUUUCAGAAUGGCUAAAUAUGUAUGAAUCCAUAUACUGCCUGCAUUAUUGCAAGUUCUCUUGUGAUCAGACUAUGCUUCAAUUUAAUCUAAAUCGAGGAAAGAACUUUCUAUUCUUU
RNAcentral lists this long non-coding RNA (689 nucleotides) under Oryza sativa tropical japonica subgroup. Its description in RNAcentral is "lncRNA OsKeNa_06g0017360". The record is from RNAcentral. Lineage: Eukaryota; Viridiplantae; Streptophyta; Magnoliopsida; Poales; Poaceae.